This 600-nucleotide ribosomal RNA is filed under the name uncultured archaeon. Its description in RNAcentral is "bacterial SSU rRNA". It matches the Rfam family "Archaeal small subunit ribosomal RNA", at positions 156 to 761 of the family's 1478-position model. The record is from RNAcentral.
AGAUCAUAGUGCCUGGAAUGGCUUAUGGUCCAAACAGCUUACUGCCAUGGGAUGGGACUGCGGCCUAUCAGCUUGUUGGUGAGGUAAUGGCCCACCAAGGCGAUUACAGGUACGGGCUCUGAGAGGAGAAGCCCGGAGAUGGGUACUGAGACACGGACCCAGGCCCUAUGGGGCGCAGCAGGCGAGAAACCUUAGCAAUGUGCGAAAGCACGACUGGGUCAGUCCGAGUGAUUCCUGAUAAAGGAGUCUUUUGCCUGUCCUAAAAACACUUGUGAAUAAGGGGUGGGCAAGUCUGGUGUCAGCCGCCGCGGUAAUACCAGCACCUCGAGUGGUCAGGACGUUUAUUGGGCCUAAAGCAUCCGUAGCCGGCGCUGCAAGUCUUCGGUUAAAUCCACCUGCUCAACAGAUGGGCUGCUGGAGAUACUACAGCGCUAGGGAGUGGGAGAGGCAGACGGUAUUCAGUGGGUAGGGGUAAAAUCCUCUGAUCCAUUGAGGACCACCAGUGGCGAAGGCGGUCUGCCAGAACACGUUCGACGGUGAGGGAUGAAAGCUGGGGGGAGCAAACGAUUAGAAUACCCGGGUAGUCCCAGCUGUAACGAU